GCUCGCACGCGAGCCCGGAGCUUGGAAGGAGCUCUGUGGGUUGGUUCGAGCAUCAGGGGACGAGUGAGCUACAGAGGUAGGCGGAUCUUCUAAACCGUGAGGAGACUCUGGACUUUAUCCAGAAGAAUCUGGAAGGGAUACGUUUUGGAAAGAAUUUCAAGACUUCCUACUUAAAUUGUGGUCUGAAGACCGGUACCAUCUGCAUUACCUGGAAACUUAUUAGAACUGGGGAAUCUCAACUCACACACGCAGACCUGCAGAACCUACAGAACCUGCAGUUAGGAAGGUCCACAGGUGAUUUGCAAGACUUUUGGGUCCUAAUCCUUGACGUCCACCACGGAUCUCCCGUUACCCCAAUGGUUAUUCUGAAUAAAUAAGGAUGUGACUAGAUUGGGAAUGAGGAGCAGGAACAAGAAGAAACUCCUGUGAAGGAUAAACUACCUGAUAAAUGUUCUGGCCCCAGAAGACUUGCCAAAACCUCUUCUUGUUUCUGUGCAUCUCAGCAGUGGUCCUCUGCCUGAGACCUGCAUCUGAAUCCUCAGUCCCUUGUUUUCAGCCCAGAAUCAGCAAAUAUCCCGAGGGAAAAAGAGCUGCUGAAUGCACCCCUGAGGUUUCCCGUUUGAGGUAUUUAGGACCUCCAGUCCUGGAUGCCUUGGUACAUUUCUGAUGUGUUCAAAUAGAUGUUUUUCACUUGACAUUUUUACUUGUUCUCAGAGAGAGCGCUGGUCUACUACAACGUAACCUAUUAAUCCAGAGGAUCUGGAAAUCCAGAAUUGCGUGCCUCUAGAUCUUAUACUUUGAUGGAUGUCGGGAAGAGAAAGGCAGACAAUAAACAACAAACAAAAAUUAAAGAAGAUAAUUUCAGAGGACGAUAAAGGCUCUGAUGGAAAUAAACAAGAUGGAGUGAACAUUACAUCUUACAUCUGAGGGAAGUACAUCCUACAAGGUGCCCUGACAUGUCGUUAUGGGCUGAAUGUUUGUGUCUCCCCAAAAUUCAUAUGUUGAAACCUAAUUCCCAAUGUGAUGGUGUUUG
Molecule: long non-coding RNA, 1033 nt
Organism: Balaenoptera musculus (blue whale)
Lineage: Eukaryota; Metazoa; Chordata; Mammalia; Artiodactyla; Balaenopteridae
Exons: 4
Source: RefSeq, a predicted model, not a curated record